Molecule: long non-coding RNA, 745 nt
Filed under: Lepisosteus oculatus (spotted gar)
Lineage: Eukaryota; Metazoa; Chordata; Actinopteri; Semionotiformes; Lepisosteidae
Description: lncRNA (ENSLOCG00000021095.1)
Source: RNAcentral
GUCGUCUUUAUAUUGUCUCUGCAGGCGCUGCUGUGUGGGCUGUCGUCUCUGGAGGAGCCAAGCUCAGAGCAGUUGGACUCGGGGACGCAGUCACCCUGCCCUGUGACCUCAAGCUCCGAGACGAGACCACCUCCUUGCCAAGGAGAAAACAGACCCUGUCUGUUGGGGUAAUAGCUUAUAAAAACCCUAUACGGCAGCAGAAUGAUCCCUCUGACCGCAAGAAGAGACUUGACUGGUGCUGCAGGCUGUCUGAUCUUCCUACUUGUGUUUUACAGGAAAUGAAGAGCCUACCCCCAACUUGAACCCUGAACCCUGAGCCCUGCCCAGCCUGACAGGAGAUCGCAGCACGAGUGAGUCUGAUCUUCACCCUGUUCUCUGCUCUCCUUCUGCAUGUGUCUCCACUGGUUCAGUCACCGAGCAGGAGAGAGAGCCCACGAGAUUCCCUGGAAAACACAGACGGACGUUCGGACCAGAUCAGCGGAAGUCUGCAGGAGUCGCUUAAUGAAGGGACUGCUUUGUACCAGAACAACUGAAAACCUGACAGAAUUAACAAGGACUCCUUUUCUGGAUAUUCUCUGUACUUGUUAACCACUGAAGAGACGGUCUGGUUUAGUCUGUUUCCUGAAUAUUUUUUUGUGUUGCAUAGUGAGUUUACUGUUUAGUCACAGCCCAGUCUUUGUCCCGAAUAUUGACUUUUAUUCACUGUACUGGUUGGUCACUGGGAUUGGUAGUCACAGUACUAAGU